CUCUUUGUGCGGUAAACUCGUGGCUGCUGAGGAUGGCCGUCGCGGAGUUCGCCUGGCUUUUGCUGCGAAACCGUCCCCAAAGGCGGGGGAGGGUGCCGCCCGGCACAUUUGCUUAGCUGCGCACAUGCAGGCCCCUGGUGCUCGAAGGAAGAUCCGCAGCGCGACGAGGGAGUGUAAGAUGUCCACAUCUUAAAUGGCCGCACUCGCCGCGUAAGUCCAGGGCCAAGGAUCGAAGCCCAGCCGCAGAAGCACGGAAUCCUUUAACCUGCAUCAGGCUGGGGAUGGAACCCGCACCUCCGCAGCGACCCCAGCAGCUGCAGUCGUAUUUUUAACACAGUGCGCAAGAGCGGGAACUCCUUAUUUUUGAAUAAGGCCCGAGAGCUCCUUAUCUUUGAAGCCCAGCCAGGGGCUGUCCCUUUCAGAGAUCUGGGCUAGACUGGAAAGAUUCUGGAAGGCCUAAGGUUUGGAAUUCUCUUGAAGAGCUGACAGGAUGGCUGUGGUGCCCAUAUAGUGGUUCCUGCCACUUGAACAGGCUGUGAGAAGUGGAGAAGAUGCCUUCAGCUUGGGUUCUGUGAACUUUGCAGACACAAAAGGAUGUCCUCUCUGGUGUUGGACAGAUCUUGGGAGCUUCACAUCUUUCCUGCAUUAACACAUGGGAGCAGCUAUCAACUCUUCCGAGCCAGGCGAACUGCCUAGAAAUUUGGGGACCCUUAAAUAUCAAUUAGGUGGUCUUCACUUCUUUACUUGGUUUUAGCAAAAGGAUUCCAAUAAAAUAUUUAAAAGUAAAUGAAAAAUAGAUUGGUCUUAGGCCAUAGCAACCACCAGAGCCACUGCAGUGACAACACCAGAUCCUUGACCUGCUGCGCCUCAAGGGAAAUCCUGAUAGUUGAGGUUUUUAUGAGACUGUUACAACAGUUAUCCAUUUGGCUUUUGAUGAGUUUGGUGAAAACAUAGAUUGUUCAGAUAUAUUUUGAAAGAAUUCUAUUCCUGGUGGUUGCCAGGGGCUGAGGAGGAGAAAAUGAGCAGUUAUUAAUGGGUUUAGAGUUUCAGUUGCCCAGCAUGAAAAGAAUGCAUGGGGGUGAAAGGUGGUAGUUCCACAAUGUUAUGAAUGUAUCAUCAGUGAAUUGUUUGCUUAAAGUGGUAAAAAUGGUAAGUUUUAUGUUUAUUGCACCCCAAUAAAAAAAUGGGGAAAAUCUCUGUGUUCCUUUUUGUCACUAUCACAAAGGGGGUUCUAAAAUUGGAAUUUCACAGUUCAAGGAAUUGGACAUUGAAGGUGACUUGUGUCAUUUGCUCUAUAAAUUGGUCCCAGCUGACAUUUGAAUAGCAGUCUCUUUAAUCACUCACCUUUAAAAAACUGCUUAUCUUCUGUGUUUACUUUCCCAGAGAAACAUUUCCAGCUUGGUUCCAACUUUUGUUUUCCUUAGUCGCUUUUGCCAGAGUUGUAUUUUUUAUUUUUUUUUCUGCCUUGCCCUAUUUUUGGUGCUCCUACAGGACAAGGUCACUUGCCCUGUAGCUAUAUAAUCUGUGUAAUCUUAGCAGCCACCAUAUAUUUAUUGCUUUGAUCUGUGCUAAACUUUUUAUGUUUCAUUCACUUCAUUGAAUCCUUAAAACCUUGCAAAGCAGAUAUUAUCUACCUGCUCAGGGAAAGCUCAGGGAUGUUAAUUUUCUUAAGGUCAUAGAGAUAAGGAGGUAACAGUCAGGCUUCAAAGUCUUUUCUUAACACCCAGGGGCCUAGCUUUAAAACAUUACCAAUAACUGGAGCAGACCUGCCUUUGAUUAAGUUUUUCUUUUUCUCCCACUGAAACAACCCAGCUGAAAUGUGACUUAUAUUCUCUGAUUUUUCUUUGUACUCUGAGUGAGUCCCUAAACAAUAUAUUCGGUGUAAUUUAUUCAUGUAGU
This 1899-nucleotide long non-coding RNA is filed under the name Sus scrofa (pig). Its description in RNAcentral is "lncRNA (ENSSSCG00045039465.1)". Lineage: Eukaryota; Metazoa; Chordata; Mammalia; Artiodactyla; Suidae. The record is from RNAcentral.